RNAcentral lists this long non-coding RNA (246 nucleotides) under Cicer arietinum (chickpea). Its description in RNAcentral is "long non-coding RNA (CARI_LNC001221)". Lineage: Eukaryota; Viridiplantae; Streptophyta; Magnoliopsida; Fabales; Fabaceae. The record is from RNAcentral.
UUUACGAGCAGCGGAAAAGUUACUCCAAUUAUAAAUCCAAACCAUUUAUCCAACAACAAAUGGUACAUGUAACCCAUCGAAAAUAACAUGUCAAGCUGACAAUAUUAGUAUAGGUACAGUCUUCCAUUUUAAAAUAAAUGCAAUACAAAAGAAAGACAUAUGAUCCCUCUAUGUCAACCUAAUCUGAUCAUUUUACAACACAACUAAACACCCGGAGUGACCUCCACGCGCCCCGUGAGAUUCUCC